GCCUACGGGGCGCAGCGGUGGGGAAUAUUGCACAAUGGGGGAAACCCUGAUGCAGCGACGCCGCGUGGAGGAAGAAGGUCUUCGGAUUGUAAACUCCUGUCCUUGGGGACGAUAAUGACGGUACCCAAGGAGGAAGCACCGGCUAACUACGUGCCAGCAGCCGCGGUAAUACGUAGGGGGCAAGCGUUAUCCGGAUUUACUGGGUGUAAAGGGAGCGUAGACGGCGGCGCAAGUCCGGAGUGAAAGCCCACGGCCCAACCGUGGGACUGCUCUGGAAACUGUGCGGCUUGAGUGCGGGAGGGGCG
Molecule: ribosomal RNA, 305 nt
Filed under: uncultured bacterium
Lineage: Bacteria
Description: bacterial SSU rRNA
Rfam family: Bacterial small subunit ribosomal RNA
Source: RNAcentral